GAUGAACGCUGACAGAAUGCUUAACACAUGCAAGUCGACUUGAAGCAACUUCGGUUGUGGAAAGUGGCGGACGGGUGAGUAACGCGUAAAGAACUUGCCCUUCAGUCUGGGACAACCAUUGGAAACGAUGGCUAAUACCGGAUAUUAUGGAACUCUCGCAUGGGGGGAUCAUGAAAGCUAUAUGCGCUGAAGGAGAGCUUUGCGUUCCAUUAGCUAGUUGGUGAGGUAACGGCUCACCAAGGCGACGAUGGAUAGCCGGCCUGAGAGGGUGAUCGGCCACAAGGGGACUGAGACACGGCCCUUACUCCUACGGGAGGCAGCAGUGGGGAAUAUUGGACAAUGGACCAAAAGUCUGAUCCAGCAAUUCUGUGUGCACGAUGAAGGUUUUCGGAUCGUAAAGUGCUUUCAGUUGGGAAGAAGAAAGUGACGGUACCAACAGAAGAAGCGACGGCUAAAUACGUGCCAGCAGCCGCGGUAAUACGUAUGUCGCAAGCGUUAUCCGGAUUUAUUGGGCGUAAAGCGCGUCUAGGCGGAUUCAUAAGUCUGAUGUUAAAAUGCGGGGCUCAACUCCGUAUUGCGUUGGAAACUGUGAAUCUAGAGUAUCAGAGAGGUGGGCGGAACUACAAGUGUAGAGGCGAAAUUCGUAGAUAUUUGUAGGAAUGCCGAUGGAGAAGUCAGCUCACUGGAUGAAUACUGACGCUAAAGCGCGAAAGCGUGGGUAGCAAACAGG
This 730-nucleotide ribosomal RNA is filed under the name uncultured bacterium. Its description in RNAcentral is "bacterial SSU rRNA". It matches the Rfam family "Bacterial small subunit ribosomal RNA", at positions 28 to 776 of the family's 1533-position model. The record is from RNAcentral.